Molecule: ribosomal RNA, 492 nt
Filed under: uncultured bacterium
Lineage: Bacteria
Description: partial 16S ribosomal RNA
Rfam family: Bacterial small subunit ribosomal RNA
Source: RNAcentral
AGUGAACGCUGGCGGUAGGCCUAACACAUGCAAGUCGAACGGCAGCACAGUAAGAGCUUGCUCUUACGGGUGGCGAGUGGCGGACGGGUGAGGAAUACAUCGGAAUCUACUUUUUCGUGGGGGAUAACGUAGGGAGACUUACGCUAAUACCGCAUACGACCUACGGGUGAAAGCAGGGGAUCUUCGGACCUUGCGCGAUUGAAUGAGCCGAUGUCAGAUUAGCUAGUUGGCGGGGUAAAGGCCCACCAAGGCGACGAUCCGUAGUUGGUCUGAGAGGAUGAUCAGCCACACUGGAACUGAGACACGGUCCAGACUCCUACGGGAGGCAGCAGUGGGGAAUAUUGGACAAUGGGCGCAAGCCUGAUCCAGCCAUACCGCGUGGGUGAAGAAGGCCUUCGGGUUGUAAAGCCCUUUUGUUGGGAAAGAAAAGCAGCAGGUUAAUACCCCGCUGUUCUGACGGUACCCAAAGAAUAAGCACCGGCUAACUUCGUG